UACGUAGGGUGCAGGCGUUAAUCGGAAUUACUGGGCGUAAAGCGUGCGUAGACGGUUUCGUAAGUCGGGUGUGAAAUCCCCGGGCUCAACCUGGGAAUUGCAUUCGAAACUGCGAGGCUAGGGUACGGAAGAGGGAAGCGGAAUUUCUGGUGUAGCGGUGAAAUGCGUAGAUAUCAGAAGGAACAUCAGUGGCGAAAGCGGCUUCCUGGUCCAGUACCGACGUUCAGGCACGAAAGCGUGGGGAGCAAACAGG
Molecule: ribosomal RNA, 253 nt
Filed under: uncultured bacterium
Lineage: Bacteria
Description: partial 16S ribosomal RNA
Rfam family: Bacterial small subunit ribosomal RNA
Source: RNAcentral